GGUGGUUCUCAGAUGAUGUACCCCGGAAUUCAGCUCCCUCCUCUCUGGUUCCAGGUGCAUCACCCAAGAACCACA
Myotis davidii is the source of this 75-nucleotide non-coding RNA. The record is from Rfam. NCBI's taxonomy places the organism in Eukaryota, Metazoa, Chordata, Mammalia, Chiroptera, Vespertilionidae.